AGUGAACGCUGGCGGUAGGCCUAACACAUGCAAGUCGAACGGCAGCACAGUAAGAGCUUUCUCUUACGGGUGGCGAGUGGCGGACGGGUGAGGCAUACAUCGGAAUCUACUUUUUCGUGGGGGAUAACGUAGGGAAACUUACGCUAAUACCGCAUACGUCCUACGGGUGAAAGCAGUGGAUCUUCGGACCUUUCGCGAUUGAAUGAGCCGAUGUCGGAUUAGCUAGUUGGCGGGGUAAAGGCCCACCAAGGCGACGAUCCGUAGCUGAUCUGAGAGGAUGAUCAGCCACACUGGAACUGAGACACGGUCCAGACUCCUACGGGAGGCAGCAGUGGGGAAUAUUGGACAAUGGGCGAAAGCCUGACCGAGCAAUACCGCGUGGGUGAAGAAGGCCUUCGGAUUGUAAAGCUCUGUUGUUAGGGAAGAAAAAAAGUAGGUGAAAACACGGAUGUUUUGACGGUACCCAAAGAAAAAGCAACGGCUAACUACGUG
Molecule: ribosomal RNA, 492 nt
Filed under: uncultured bacterium
Lineage: Bacteria
Description: partial 16S ribosomal RNA
Rfam family: Bacterial small subunit ribosomal RNA
Source: RNAcentral